UCAACUUAUUGUCUAAUGAAUCCACAAACUUGCUUGUGCAACAUAUUACACUCUUCAUCUGUUUUGUUAUCAGGCUUUACGGUGAUAAAGACUGGUUUGUAAUUUUUUUUGACAUAAAGCAGAUCUUCUAUUUUCCCCUUCCAAAUGACAUAAUUAACACCAUUCAAAGUAACUAUUCUACUUGUGUUGGCUUCCAUCGUUUAUCCCCAAAAAAUAUAGUUAUUACAAACCAAAGUAAAUAUUUUAUGAUGUGGAAGUUCAGACUAUGCUACAACCACAGAGCAUACUCAGAUAAAACAUUGGCUCUGAUACAAUUUGUUGGAAAAAACGCGGACGAACACAA
This 343-nucleotide long non-coding RNA is filed under the name Solanum tuberosum (potato). RNAcentral's name for it is "long non-coding RNA (STUB_LNC008901)". The record is from RNAcentral. Lineage: Eukaryota; Viridiplantae; Streptophyta; Magnoliopsida; Solanales; Solanaceae.